AUACGGAGGGUGUAAGCGUUGUUCGGAAUUAUUGGGCGUAAAGCGCGUGUAGGCGGUUAGUUAAGUCUGAUGCGAAAGCCCCGGGCUCAACCUGGGAAGUGCAUUGGAAACUGGCAAACUUGAGUACGGGAGAGGGAAGUGGAAUUUCGAGUGUAGGGGUGAAAUCCGUAGAUAUUCGAAGGAACACCAGUGGCGAAGGCGGCUUCCUGGACCGAUACUGACGCUGAGACGCGAAAGCGUGGGGAGCAAACAGGAUUAGAUACCCUGGUAGUCC
RNAcentral lists this ribosomal RNA (274 nucleotides) under uncultured bacterium. RNAcentral describes it as "partial 16S ribosomal RNA". It matches the Rfam family "Bacterial small subunit ribosomal RNA", at positions 523 to 796 of the family's 1533-position model. The record is from RNAcentral.